AUUGAACGCUGGCGGCAGGCCUAACACAUGCGAGUCGAACGGUAACAGGAAACAGCUUGCUGUUUCGCUGACGAGUGGCGGACGGGUGAGUAAUGUCUGGGAAACUGCCUGAUGGAGGGGGAUAACUACUGGAAACGGUAGCUAAUACCGCAUAACGUCGCAAGACCAAAGAGGGGGACCCUCGGGCCUCUUGCCAUCGGAUGUGCCCAGAUGGGAUUAGCUUGUUGGUGGGGUAACGGCUCACCAAGGCGACGAUCCCUAGCUGGUCUGAGAGGAUGACCAGCCACACUGUAACUGAGACACGGUCCAGACUCCUACGGGAGGCAGCAGUGGGGAAUAUUGCACAAUGGGCGCAAGCCUGAUGCAGCCAUGCCGCGUGUAUGAAGAAGGCCUUCGGGUUGUAAAGUACUUUCAGCGGGGAGGAAGGGAGUAAAGUUAAUACCUUUGCUCAUUGACGUUACCCGCAGAAGAAGCACCGGCUAACUCCGUG
This 490-nucleotide ribosomal RNA is filed under the name uncultured bacterium. RNAcentral describes it as "partial 16S ribosomal RNA". It matches the Rfam family "Bacterial small subunit ribosomal RNA", at positions 30 to 507 of the family's 1533-position model. The record is from RNAcentral.